UACGUAGGGUGCAAGCGUUGUCCGGAAUUAUUGGGCGUAAAGAGCUCGUAGGCGGUUUGUCGCGUCUGCUGUGAAAACUCGGGGCUUAACUCCGGGCCUGCAGUGGGUACGGGCAGACUAGAGUGCGGUAGGGGAGACUGGAAUUCCUGGUGUAGCGGUGAAAUGCGCAGAUAUCAGGAGGAAUACCGGUGGUGUAGACGGCUCUCUGGACCGCCACUGACGCUGAGACACGAAAGCGUGGGUAGCAAACAGG
Molecule: ribosomal RNA, 253 nt
Filed under: uncultured bacterium
Lineage: Bacteria
Description: partial 16S ribosomal RNA
Rfam family: Bacterial small subunit ribosomal RNA
Source: RNAcentral